Molecule: long non-coding RNA, 564 nt
Filed under: Nicotiana benthamiana
Lineage: Eukaryota; Viridiplantae; Streptophyta; Magnoliopsida; Solanales; Solanaceae
Description: long non-coding RNA (NBEN_LNC024604)
Source: RNAcentral
UCCUACUGUGUCACAGUCAUAUCUCCCUGACGAAGGUACUCAAGCUGUCUAUGCAGCUCCUCCCUCUGAGACUAAGGUAUCCACUUCUCCAGAAAGAGAGUGGAUCCUGCCAUGACAAAGGCGCUACACCUCUCGACCUACGCUGCUCAUAAGCCUCCCACCAAGUGAAAGCUGCUCCAGAAAACUAAAAAGUAGUAAAUGAUACCCCGCUCGACUCUAAGAUCCCUGCGGUCCAAAUCAUACGUCGACACUUGUCGAGAAAACCUUGGGCAUCCUCACCCGAAACACCACUGAAAGUAGGAGGUGAAAGCCUGCUGAACCUCUCAAGACGACGCUGCUCAUAUUCUGGCAUAGUUGGAGUCACAUCAUCCUGAACCGGGGCAACCAACUGAACUAGGGCAACCCGCUGAACUGGUGGUGCCUCUGGUGUCUGCAAACCUUGCACUACUUGCUCAGGCGUGCGAGUAGCGGGGGUCUGAUUGCCUCCCCCGACCUGCGAAGUAGUUGUUGCAGUAGUGGCUGAGACGGCCUGAGCCAGGCCAGUGCAAACUGAUAGGAUCUGAG